RNAcentral lists this ribosomal RNA (292 nucleotides) under uncultured bacterium. Its description in RNAcentral is "partial 16S ribosomal RNA". It matches the Rfam family "Bacterial small subunit ribosomal RNA", at positions 505 to 796 of the family's 1533-position model. The record is from RNAcentral.
GUGUCAGCAGCCGCGGUAAUACAGAGGUCUCAAGCGUUAAUCGGAAUCACUGGGCUUAAAGGGUGCGUAGGCGGAUCUGUAAGUGCUUUGUGAAAUCCCAUGGCUCAACCAUGGAAUUGCUUGGCAGACUGCAGGUCUUGAGGUCGGUAGGGGCUGCCGGAACUCUAGGUGGAGCGGUGAAAUGCGUAGAUAUCUAGAGGAACGCCGAAGGUGAAGACAGGCAGCUGGGCCGAUUCUGACGCUGAGGCACGAAAGCGUGGGGAGCAAACGGGAUUAGAUACCCGCGUAGUCC